UUUUCUUUUCUUUUCUUUUCUUUUUUUUUUUUUUUUUGGUUUUUAGGACCACACUUGUGGCAUAUGGAGGUUCCCAGGCUAGGGGUCAGAGCAGAGCUGUAGCUGCUGGCCUACACCACAGCCACGGCAACGCCAGAUCCAAGCUGCAUCUGUGAUCUACAACACAGUUCACAGCAAGGCUGGAUCCCCAACCCACUGAGCAGGGCUGGGGAUCGAACCUUCAUCCUCAUGGAUACUAGUCGGAUUCAUUUCUGCUGCGUCACAAUAGGAACUCCAGCUUCCUUCUUGUUGCAACAUUGCCUCUCCCUCCAUAUCCCAGCCCCAGACCUGGGAGGGAGGAACACCUGGCUGAGCUCCACCUGCAUGCCUCGUGCUGCCCGCAGCCCCCUCCUCGGAGGCCCCCAGGCUGGGGUGAGGGGGGGAGCCCCUGAGAGAAGGGGGGAAGCUGAUGCAUUUCCCCCUCGGUGUUGCAGGAGACUGCUCCCCACAUCCCAAGCCUGGACUCCUGCCAGGCUCCCUAAUCAUCUCCUUUCCUUUCCCAUCCAGAGCCUCUCUCUGGGGAGCCCCUCCUCCAGCCUCUGUGUCCUGGGCAGAGCAGCACAGCUCUUUCCAGGAUGGUGGCUGGGGUCUAGGAGGUCUGUACCCACAACCCUGACUCCUGCCCAAUGCCCGCCUUGCUUUGGUCAGGCUUUGGCCUCCAUAGGGAAUUCCCUUCCUCCAGCUCCCCAGUUCAUAGGUCUUGGAAAGCUGCCAAAUCCAGCACCUCUUUGGCCCUGCCUGGAUCCCCUUCCCCAGUCCCAGAGCACCCUCCUUUCCUACUGUGGGCAGGCCGGGUAGACUGUCCAUUGAAGCUUUCCCAAGACCAACUAGGGCAGUGGGGUCCGGGGAGGUGGUUGGUGCUGCCCCCUCAUUGGUGGCCUGCUGGGGUUUCCAUCACUUAGGGCUGGUUACCAGGCAACUGCAUCCGAGGGCUCGUCCCUGGCUUUGACUUCAGCCUGGCACAGCCACUGUUGCUGGUGGGGGAGGCAUGCAGUCAGGCCAGCUGAGGCCAGGGUCACUGUCCAGAGGCCUCAUGUGCCUGGGAGGGUUGGGGCUGGGGCCUCAGAUCUGCAACCUCAGAAACCCCUAUGAUUUUCUCAGCUUAGACUCACAGCCCUGCCCCAGGAAAGGGGUCUCCAGGGGUCUCCAUUUCUACACAAAUGGCCACACUCAGGUUUCCAGGGGGUUGAGGGGAGGCUGAGUGGGAGCAGAGCGGGGCACCUUUUUUUUUCCUCUUUAGGGGCUGGGGGUGCAGCCUGUGGCCUCAUUGACCACCCACCCCACCCUGUGGCCUGAGGUGGGGACAUGAAGAGUCUGAUUUCCCAGGUUAUAGGGCCUUGGGCUUUGGGUCUCAAUCCUGCUCUGCCUCCCAGUGGUUGUGUGUUGAUUGCCUGGCUGAGCCUCAUCUGUACGAUAACCCCUGUCUCCUUAGGAAGUGCACAGCCUAUAAAAUGCUGUGUUGUGCCUGGCACAUCGCCCCCUCUUCAUACCUGCUCCUUAGCUUCCUCCAGACCCUGCCACGUACUCAGCCACAAACGUCCCUCAUUGCAAGGCGGCAAGUAUUACAGAUGCUGACAGCCCACACAGAGGUCACUCAGCACUACCAGGUGACCCAGGAACAUGCCAUCUUCAUGUCCAAGGAUAGCCUUGUGCCCUGGCCCUGCCCCUUGCUCCCCCAUUCCUGAUGACUUGAUUUUUUUAAAAUUUAAAAGUCAUAUAAGGGUGUUCCUGGGAACCUCCAUAUGCUGUGGGUGAGGCCCUAAAAAAGCAAAAAAAAACAAAAAACAAAAAAAGAAAAAAAAAAGUCAUAUUGGCUUUACUGUGUAUAGGCACUGUUUUAAAAGCUUUAUAAAUAUUAAUGUGAUUAACAUUUAAUCCAUUUAAUGGAUUAAUCCAUUAAUGCGAUUAACAUUUAAUCCAUUCAGUGGAUUAAGUCACUUAAUUCACUUAUUCUAUGAAUCCAUUUAAUGGAUUAAAGGAGGUAAAUGUUGAGGUGGGCCUAGGGAGCUGUGGUGGGAUGGGGAUCCAGGCACACAGUCCCUCUCAUAUUAGGGUGGCUUCGGCUGUACCAUUAGAUGCCAGUCCUGCCUCUUGUCACGGAGCCCACCUGAGCUGGUGUAGCCAUGGCAGGUCAGAGUUUCAGGAAGAGCAGUGACGGCUAAUUAAAACUUUGGCUCAGGGAGGCCCCCUUGGGGCAAGGAUUGCCUCAGUCAGCUCCCUUGGGGAGGUCCCCUAAUUGGACCCCAGGGGCUCUAGUAAUGAUGCAAACUCACAGGCAGAGGAUAACAGGCAAGGAGGGAGGGGAAAUGGGGAAGGAAACAGCGUGGCAAAAAAAUAACAACCCCUCUCCCCUUGUGAGGGUAGUGGCUUGAGAGUUCCCAGACUGUCAGGUGCUGUGUAAAUUUGGGUGGGUUGCUUGACCUCUCUGAGCCUCUGAUUCUCUGUCCCAAGUGGAGAGAACAGAAAAUCCAGCCCUGGAGGGUUGUUGUGAAAAGAUAUGCACAAAAAGUUACUUCCGCAUCGUGCCUGACUCAGAAGUAGGGACUCGAGAAUUGAAACAAUUAUCAUCAUGUUAUUAAACCAGUAUGACUACCCAUGGCCUUUCAUAGCCAUUGUCUCGUUGAGUCUUGAGAGCAUCCUGGGAGGAAGGAGAGUGGGACAAGCAUUCACCUGGGGGAGGGGGGCAGUGUUUAGCCUCCUAGCUUUCUCUCCCGACACACUGGUUUGGGUCUUGGGCCCCUUGAGGGGUGUGGAGGAGCUGGGGCUGCAGGUCAUGGAGCAGUGUAGGAUGCAGACAGAACCAGACCUGCAGAGUGGAGAGGACUUAACUAGGCAGAAAGGAGCAGAGAUGCUUGCAGAGGUGGGAGUGGGUGUGGGGGGGGACACAGCCUAGAUAAAGGUCUGGCUCCAGAGCGUAUAGAGCCACAAAGCGGAACCACAAAGGGGAGCCACAGGGAACCGAUGGGGCUAGAGCUGGGGUGGCCUGAGACACCUCGGCCCAUGUAAGUGAUAGUCACACACUGCCCUGCUGAGGCUGAGGUCUGGCUCUAGGCCACCAAAGACCCCCUCGCUCCAGGGUGCUGAGAAUCACUGUGCCAGAAGCUGGGCUGGAAGGGGGGACUCUGGCAGAGGGAACAGGUGCUCUGAUUCCUCUCUGGCUGCAGCAGAGUGGCUACACUAACUCCCCUGCCCUCUGUCUGGAGUGGACAUUAAUCUCAUCCCGCAUCUGUGAGCCUCCGUCAUCACAAAGCACAAAGCCAUCUCCUGGGCUCCCCAGCCCCCUCGGGAAGCCACCCAGGCCCAUUUUCCAGGGACAGGAGCCCCAGGCAAGGUCCAAAAACAGUCAGGGCUGGCAUGGCAUGAGCCCCAGCCCUCUCUAGCAGGACCUGUCUCAGUGAUAUCACCUCUGUUCUCACGAGGGCCACCAGCCCCACAUCUGCCACCCCAGGACAGGGGUGGCCUCCUCUAGCCCUCACCCAGAGCAGAGUGCUCUGCGGGGGCACUUCCCCCGGCCCCAUACUCAGUGAACCCAACUGGCAUGGCCUCAGAACACAAUUCUUCUCGUGGAGAGAAAGCCAGGGCCAGAGCUGAGGUGUGGAGGAGAAGCAGGACGCACUGCAAGGCAGCUGGUCAGUGCUAGUAAAUCAACAAUUCCUGAACAAACACAGCCGCUCUGGACCUGGGCCUCCGACUCCCUCCUCACCCUCUGCGGUCAGCCCCCUCCUCUCCUGUCAACCAGGCCAUCUGCAGCUCACUGGGCUCCAAUUAGCUUGGUAAUUAGCACCUCAUCGGGCCUGUCUGCCUUUGAACAGGUCCCCUGGGAAGUGGUUUGAGGUGGUCUCCACGACCUCAGAGCCCAGGCUGGGGCAAGUUCAGGCAGGCCAAGGGGCCAGGUUUCAGGGCCCAGGUUUCAGGGCCCCUGUCACUCUCCCUGCAGGCACACUCGUGCCCCCAGCUUUCGCUGCUGUGGCUUUCCUGCUACAGGGCAAUGGAGCAACUUCAGAGCCCCUGUGGGAUUAGAGUAAGGGUCUGGGGGAAAGAGGAGACCCUCCCAGGACAAGGCUUCUCCCAGCAAUCUCUGCGACUCUUGUCAGCACCCAAACAUACCUCCUCACCAGCUCUGCUUAUUCAGGGACCCCUGGCUGCCUGGCAUAUCAGGGAGAUAGGCAGAGGAAGGGUAAGAAGACAGCCAAGUCCCCAAGUUCCCCUAGGGAAGGAGGCCAAACCAGUUGGAGUCAGAUCAGGGAGCUGAAGGUGGGGUGCGGGUGGCCUGUGGCUGGUGGGGUCAGAGAGGGCCUCCUGCAGGGGACAGAAGGAGGUGGUGAGACGCGAGGGGUUGUCAGAGUGUGUGGGGCUGCAGCCUGGUGGAGUGGCUCUGGGGUGGGGGACAAGCCAAGAGAUCCCCUGACUGAAGUGUUUCCACAUCUUUAACAUAAGGACGGUCAUAGUAACUGCCCUCAGGUUCCAGACAGAAUCAGAAGAUGCAGGGUGUUGGGGUGAGCAGCAGGGCUGUGGGGGUGGGAGGCAGGUAGCAGUGGUACCCAGACCACAGGGCAGGAAGUGAGCAUCACAGGAAGCCAGCUUUAAUCUCCCUCCUCCCGGACUCAGAGCAGCACUGGUCCAGGGAGAGAGGUCUUGACAGGUGUGGGGGUCCCACCAAGAUACUGCUCAGGCUUGGGGGUGGGGCAUGUCAGGCCUGGGAAACCAGCCAGUGUGGACAGGGCAGGGGACACAGACAGGCAGGAAGUCAGCCUCACCCCAAGCCAAAGCCCGCAGCCUGGGGCAGCCCUGGGCUGAGGGUGGGCUGUGGUCAGCUGUGAGACGGAGCUCUGACAGCAGGCGAGGCAAAUAGGCUGCCGCUGAGGAAGUUGCUUGACUGGGGGCGGGGGUGCGGUGGCUCUGCCCCAGCAGUUCAGUCAAGAAAAGUCCCACUGGAGUUCUGGUCAUGGCUCAGUGGUUAACGAAUCCGACUAGGAACCAUGAGGUUGUGGGUUCGAUCCCUGGCCUUGCUCAGUGGGUUAGGGAUCCGGCGUUGUCGUGAGCUGUGGUGUGGGUCGCAGACACGGCUCAGAUCCCACGUUGCUGUGGCUGUGGCUGUGGCAUAGGCCGGUGGCUACAGAUCCGAUUCGAUCCCUAGCCUGGGAACCUCCAUGUGCCAUGGGAGUGGCUCAAGAAAAG
RNAcentral lists this long non-coding RNA (5217 nucleotides) under Sus scrofa (pig). RNAcentral describes it as "lncRNA (ENSSSCG00000061159.1)". The record is from RNAcentral. Lineage: Eukaryota; Metazoa; Chordata; Mammalia; Artiodactyla; Suidae.